RNAcentral lists this ribosomal RNA (399 nucleotides) under uncultured bacterium. RNAcentral's name for it is "partial 16S ribosomal RNA". It matches the Rfam family "Bacterial small subunit ribosomal RNA", at positions 338 to 734 of the family's 1533-position model. The record is from RNAcentral.
CCUACGGGAGGCAGCAGUGAGGAAUAUUGGUCAAUGGCCGCAAGCCUGAACCAGCCAAGUCGCGUGAAGGAUGAAGGCCCUAUGGUUUGUAAACUUCUUUUAUAGGGGAAUAAAGGUAUGCACGUGUGCCUGUUUGCAUGUACCUUAUGAAUAAGGAUCGGCUAACUCCGUGCCAGCAGCCGCGGUAAUACGGAGGAUCCGAGCGUUAUCCGGAUUUAUUGGGUUUAAAGGGUGCGUAGAUGGUUUGUUAAGUCAGCUGUGAAAGUUUGCGGCUCAACCGUAAAAUUGCAGUUGAUACUGGCAGUCUUGAGUACAGUUGAGGUAGGCGGAAUGCGUGGUGUAGCGGUGAAAUGCUUAGAUAUCACGAAGAACUCCGAUUGCGAAGGCAGCUUACUAAAC